RNAcentral lists this transfer RNA (72 nucleotides) under Gnathonemus petersii (elephantnose fish). RNAcentral's name for it is "tRNA-Asp". It matches the Rfam family "tRNA". From Rfam's summary of the family: Transfer RNA (tRNA) molecules are approximately 80 nucleotides in length. Lineage: Eukaryota; Metazoa; Chordata; Actinopteri; Osteoglossiformes; Mormyridae. The record is from RNAcentral.
AAGACACUAGUAAAACAGCCAUUACAUCACCUUGUCAGGGCGAAGUUGUAGGUUAAACCCCUGCGUGUCUUA